This 253-nucleotide ribosomal RNA is filed under the name uncultured bacterium. RNAcentral describes it as "partial 16S ribosomal RNA". It matches the Rfam family "Bacterial small subunit ribosomal RNA", at positions 524 to 776 of the family's 1533-position model. The record is from RNAcentral.
UACGGGGGGGGCAAGCGUUGUUCGGAAUUACUGGGCGUAAAGGGCUCGUAGGUGGCCAACUAAGUCGGACGUGAAAUCCCUCGGCUUAACCGGGGAACUGCGUCCGAUACUGGAUGGCUUGAGUUUGGGAGAGGGAUGCGGAAUUCCAGGUGUAGCGGUGAAAUGCGUAGAUAUUGGGAGGAACACCAGUGGCGAAGGCGGCUCACUGGACCGGUACUGACGCUGAUGCGCGAAAGCGUGGGGAGCAAACGGG